UUCACAGGCUGAAGACAUAGACUGGGAGCCCAGGAGAAUGUGCAAGGAGACUUGGGGGCAAGAAGGAGCCGGGGACACCAUAAUACACAGGAGCAGAGGAGGAUAAAGCCUCAUAGAUGGGGGAGGGGGUCUUAGAAGGCAGCAGCUGACAGGGUGACCCAUUUAGUGCAUUGCUCUCUGGCAUUACCACUUUGCUUCUAGUACUAGACCCACAUAAGGAAGCAAAGGGCUGAUGGGUGUGCAAGGACUCAGGAUGGGAUAGGAUUACACGCAGCUCAGGCGGCAGUGACUGCACCCCAAUAUUCAGACUGCACCCCCCUCCCAAGACCUCACCAUGGAGAUUAUGGACGAGGAUGCAUCCCAACAGGAAGAAAUGAUUCUUGGCCCCAGUUUCCCGCUGUACCCCACUCCAGCGGAUCUGGGGCCGGACGCUGGGAUGUACAUGGAGUUUAUGAUGAAGCACCGAUGCUACGACGCCAUCCCCACAAGCUGCAAGCUGGUCGUGUUUGACACGUCUCUACAGAUUAAGAAAGCCUUUUUGGCCCUGGUGGCGAACGGGGUGCGGGCGGCGCCUCUCUGGGACAGCAAGCAGCAUUGUUUUGUGGGAAUGCUGACCAUCACCGACUUCAUCAACAUCCUGCACAGAUACUACAAGGCUCCGCUGGUGCAGAUAUAUGAGCUGGAGGAGCAUAAGAUUGAGACGUGGAGAGAAGUUUACCUGCAGAGUUCCUUCAAGCCCCUGAUCUACAUCGCCCCCUGUGACAGUCUCUUCCACGCUGUCUAUUCGCUCAUCAAGAACAAGAUUCACCGUUUACCAGUGAUGGAUCCAGCGUCUGGCAAUAUCCUCCACAUCCUCACCCACAAGCGCCUGCUGAAAUUCCUGCAUAUAUUUGGGAGAACCAUUCCCAGACCGUGCUUCCUGCAGAGGACCAUCCUGGAGUUGGGGAUUGGCACCUUCAGAGAUGUCGCCAUGAUUCACGACACUUCAUCCAUCUACAGCGCGCUGGAGAUCUUUGUGGAGAGGAGAGUGUCCGCGCUACCUGUAGUGAACGAGGCUGGACAGGUCGUAGGGUUAUAUUCUCGCUUUGACGUCAUACAUUUAGCAGCCCAGAAGGUGUAUAAUAACCUGGAUAUAACAGUGGGCGAAGCUUUGCGGCGGCGCUCCUUGUCUCUGGAAGGUGUUCUUAUGUGUUAUCCGCAUGAGACCUUGGAAGCUGUGAUUGACCGUAUAGUACGAGAACAGGUUCAUCGAUUUGUCCUGGUGGAUGAAGAACAUCGGCCCCGCGGGAUUGUGUCCCUGUCUGACAUCCUUCAAGCACUGGUUUUAUCCCCCGCAGGUAUUGAUGCCCUUAAUUCCUAACCCUGCGAAGGCUCUUUUCUACCUUCACCCUGCACCUCCUUCUCCUCUCUAAGGCACAGGUCUGGACCGCAAUUCCUUGUGAUCGAGUCCAUGGGAAUGCAUGGAUCCAGCCUCCAACAGGAGAAUGACAGGACAUUUUAUAUCUAGGGGGCGCUGUUUCAUCCACCAAGGACGACUGGAUGCCUGAUCAUGUGAUGAGAGGACGACACGAGCAGGGUCACUUACCGCCUGGAGGAUGGCAGUCACCUUGAAGGACACAAGUUUUCUUCCAGAUGCAUUCAAGGAAUCCUGCAGUCUUGGCGUAGUCCUCCACUGUAUGUCUCAUAUACAGUGUAUUGUAUUGUGUGGUCAUGAGAACUUUGGAGACUGGAGUGGGAAUCAUUCAAAAUUUAUUGCUGGAGACGUCCUCGGACCUGUGAGUGGGGCUCAUCGUCAUGUGCCAUAUGGAGAUACGAUAUGUUUACACCGUCCACACGCA
This is an RNA transcript of Bufo bufo (common toad), 1838 nucleotides long. It is a transcript of the gene named protein kinase AMP-activated non-catalytic subunit gamma 3, with no coding region annotated. The record is from RefSeq and is a predicted model, not a curated record. The transcript has 13 exons. NCBI's taxonomy places the organism in Eukaryota, Metazoa, Chordata, Amphibia, Anura, Bufonidae.